AUUGAACGCUGGCGGCAGGCCUAACACAUGCACGUCGAACGAGUGGCGGACGGGUGUGUAAUGUCUGGGAAACUGUCUGAUGGAGGGAGAUAACUACUGGAAACGGUAGCUAAUACCGCAUACCAUCAGAUGUGCCCAGAUGGGAUGAGCUAGUAGGUGGGGUAACGGCUCACCUAGGCGACGAUCCCUAGCUGGUCUGAGAGGAUGACCAGCCAAACUGGAACUGAGACACGGUCCAGACUCCUACGGGAGGCAGCAGUGGGGAAUAUUGCACAAUGGGCGCAAGCCUGAUGCAGCCAUGCCGCGUGUAUGAAGAAGGCCUUCGGGUUGUAAAGUACUUUCAGCGGGGAGGCGUUACCCGCAGAAGAAGCACCGGCUAACUCCGUGCCAGCAGCCGCGGUAAUAC
RNAcentral lists this ribosomal RNA (406 nucleotides) under uncultured bacterium. Its description in RNAcentral is "partial 16S ribosomal RNA". It matches the Rfam family "Bacterial small subunit ribosomal RNA", at positions 30 to 526 of the family's 1533-position model. The record is from RNAcentral.